Molecule: ribosomal RNA, 236 nt
Filed under: uncultured bacterium
Lineage: Bacteria
Description: partial 16S ribosomal RNA
Rfam family: Bacterial small subunit ribosomal RNA
Source: RNAcentral
ACGGGUGAGUAACACGUAUGCAAUCCACCUGUAACAGGGGGAUAACCCGGAGAAAUCCGGACUAAUACCCCAUAAUAUGGGCGCUCCGCAUGGAGAGUUCAUUAAAGAGAGCAAUUUUGGUUACAGACGAGCAUGCGCUCCAUUAGCCAGUUGGCGGGGUAACGGCCCACCAAGGCGACGAUGGAUAGGGGUUCUGAGAGGAAGGUCCCCCACAUUGGAACUGAGACACGGUCCAA